RNAcentral lists this ribosomal RNA (356 nucleotides) under Smeringurus mesaensis. Its description in RNAcentral is "partial 28S ribosomal RNA". It matches the Rfam family "Eukaryotic large subunit ribosomal RNA", at positions 646 to 964 of the family's 3401-position model. The record is from RNAcentral. Lineage: Eukaryota; Metazoa; Arthropoda; Arachnida; Scorpiones; Vaejovidae.
GACCCGUCUUGAAACACGGACCAAGGAGUCUAACAUGUGCGCGAGUCGUCGGGUCUUGAAUAGGCCCGCAGGCGAAAUGAAAGUGAAGGACGACGACCCCCGUCGUCGUCCGCGUUGGGAUCCCCGGUCCCUAGAGUCUGGGGCGCACCAACGGCCCGUCCCGUCCGCGACGUCGGUGGGACGGAGCGAGAGCGUACACGUUGGGACCCGAAAGAUGGUGAACUAUGCCUGGGCAGGACGAGGCCAGAGGAAACUCUGGUGGAGGUCCGCAGCGAUUCUGACGUGCAAAUCGAUCGUCAGACCUGGGUAUAGGGGCGAAAGACUAAUCGAACCGUCUAGUAGCUGGUUCCUUCCGA